RNAcentral lists this long non-coding RNA (595 nucleotides) under Cairina moschata (Muscovy duck). RNAcentral describes it as "domestica (muscovy Duck (domestic type)) lncRNA (ENSCMMG00000015325.1)". The record is from RNAcentral. Lineage: Eukaryota; Metazoa; Chordata; Aves; Anseriformes; Anatidae.
AUGAAAUCCCAUGGAGAUGAGGCAUAUAUGUAUCUGGGUGAUGUUGUGCAGCAAGUGACAGUGUCUAGGAAACAUCCCCAGAACAUCACAAAAAUAUCUGCGCUCCUGAUUUGGGGAGAGGAUGUGCUGCAUGGCCCAGAGGAAGCUCACGAGCAUCUCUCACCUGAGGAACCAGCCACCAAAUUUGUCGACAGUUUACAUGGUACACAGGAGGCAACUCUGCCCUGGGCAGAUGCUGCUCAGACACCUGGCCCUGGCAAUGCCUCCACCCGUAGCUGCUCAUACCAGACCUGUCAAGCAAGCAAACAGCAGCAAGAGAGCAAAAGACACAGAGCCUUGGUGCUGUUGUGGAGCAGAUGCCUCCAAAAGGGCAAGAACAUGGCUCAGGGGCCAUGUGACUCGGGGUGAACCGAAUCCGCACGUUUUAAUUAAAAUGGCUAUCAUCCACAUUUUGUUUUCUUUAUAAACAUUUGCAGAGUAUCAGUAGCCAAUCUAAAUGUCUCAGCAGACGAGUACAUACUGUACUUCGGCUCUUUUUUUCUAGAGUGCUGGAGAAAACACAUGAGCUGGAGCCAGCUGAUGUGCUCUCCAUGGG